GUGCCACUAGCUCAGGCGGCAGAGCACCUGCCUUUUAAGCAGGGUGUCCCGGGUUCGAUUCCCGGGUGGCACACCA
This 76-nucleotide transfer RNA is filed under the name Clostridia bacterium. Its description in RNAcentral is "tRNA-Lys". It matches the Rfam family "tRNA". Rfam says of the family: Transfer RNA (tRNA) molecules are approximately 80 nucleotides in length. Lineage: Bacteria; Bacillati; Bacillota; Clostridia. The record is from RNAcentral. RNAcentral also lists the same sequence under 2 other names.